This is a long non-coding RNA of Capra hircus (goat), 1446 nucleotides long. RefSeq lists it as uncharacterized. The record is from RefSeq and is a predicted model, not a curated record. The transcript is spliced from 2 exons. NCBI's taxonomy places the organism in Eukaryota, Metazoa, Chordata, Mammalia, Artiodactyla, Bovidae.
UUGCCUGUGGCUCCUGCGAAGACGUCGCCCUGGGCUGGACUUUCCGAGAUGACGGCAGUGGCCUCCACGGUGGACGCCCGGUCAAAGGUGCUGUGGACCCAAGUGUGGACUUUCUUCUCAACCCCAGGAUCUCCGCUGGGCUCCUCCUUUUGUGAUUUUCUCCACAUGAUGAGAUGUUGCUGUUACACCCUCUGGGCUGAACUGUGAGGUCUCAGCCAGCAACGUGGCUGCAUUAGGAGUAAGGACAGUGGGGCCCUAACCUGGUGGGAUUAGUGUCCCUAUAGGAGGAGACACCAGAAACACCCCCUAACUGCCACAUGAGUGAGAGCCUGCAAGCCAAAAGGAGCCCCAGCCAGCAGCAAACCAGUGCCGGGACCCAGGCUGCCGCCUCCACAGCUGUGAGAAAGCCCGCGCAUGCCGCAGCUGCCCUGGGAGUGGUGCCCGCCCCAGCCCCGUAGACUGGGACCGAGACCCCUGCUGAAAACGCUUCCACCCUGCAGACACAGAGCCUGCCUGGAAGCCCCCUCAGCUGCUGCUGCAACGGGAAGCAUCUCCUGCCUGCUGCUGUUCCUCCAUGGGGCCCACACACCCCCGUUCCUUCACACGCCUUGUGACUUCUGCUGGAGCUGGACAUCCGUGCCGACGGCUGCUCCCCUCCAGGCUCCCCAGCUGCAGCCCUGCACAUGGGGUCCCUGCAGGCCCCUCCGGGCAGCAGGAGUCAAGCUGCCACACCAGCUGCUGGCUCUGCUCUUUCCAGCCGACUGCUCUACCCUCUGCAAACUGCUCCGCUGUGGGAUCCAGGCACCUGGGGCUCUGCACUGGGGGCUUUCGGGACACAUCUAGAGGAAAUGCCCUGGGACAGUCGUUUAGCUGGCAUCCGCCCACACACUGCCCGGGAGCGGAGCCUCGGCAGCACUCACACCAUCAGCCUAACUCGUGGUCCUAUCGCUGCCUCCACCGCAGGGAAUUCCACCGCAUGGGGUAUGGGCGAGCGGGGCCGGGACGAUGGGGCCGGUGGCCUGGAACGGAGCUUCCCCUCAGCCGAGCAGGGCCACAGGCCAGGAACAGGCCCUGGCUCACACACCAGACUCACAAAAUUCUCCCGGAUAAAUAUUUUUUGCUAUAUGCCGCCAGGACAGCUUUCAGAGAUCCUAAGCAGGCUUUUUGCAUUAUUUCGCCAAUGAGGAUUAUGUCUCUGGGGGCUGGUCCAUAGAGCUCUGCAGACCACUGUUCCUGAUUCGGAAGCCAAAACGUGUCCAUUUGAUGAAGGAGACGUACAAGAUUUUAUUUCAUGGACUGAACCUUUGGUUGCAUGCCUAAGAAAUCCCAGGUAUAACUUGAGAUCACAAAGAUUUUCUUCUAAAAACUUUAAUUUUGUUUUCAACACAUCUCACUCUAAAAUCCACUUUUAAUUCAUUGGUAUAUAAAGUAUGAUGUCUAGGUCAA